This 255-nucleotide ribosomal RNA is filed under the name uncultured prokaryote. RNAcentral's name for it is "partial 16S ribosomal RNA". It matches the Rfam family "Bacterial small subunit ribosomal RNA", at positions 526 to 780 of the family's 1533-position model. The record is from RNAcentral.
CGUAGGUGGCAAGCGUUAUCCGGAAUUAUUGGGCGUAAAGAGCGCGCAGGUGGUUGAUUAAGUCUGAUGUGAAAGCCCACGGCUUAACCGUGGAGGGUCAUUGGAGACUGGUCGACUUGAGUGCAGAAGAGGGAAGUGGAAUUCCAUGUGUAGCGGUGAAAUGCGUAGAGAUAUGGAGGAACACCAGUGGCGAAGGCGGCUUCCUGGUCUGUAACUGACACUGAGGCGCGAAAGCGUGGGGAGCAAACAGGAUUA